ACUCUCAGAGACACCCUGCACCCACAUACUGAACUCCAUUCCUGUCUUUUUUCAUCUUUAGAUGGGCAGCCUGAACCAGGAGGUUGCUCAGCUAACCAAGGACCUGCACCACAUGAUGCAUCUUCUGCAAGCACAAGUGGCUGUUCAUCACUAUACAGCCUCACUGUCCUCCUACCCUUACGGUGUGCACAUGAUGUCCAACCCAGCUACCAGCACUGCUCUGGCCUACAGCAUGGGCCCCAGCAUGCACCUGCACCAGGAGGCCCAUGGCCAUCAUCAUCAGGUGGACCACACAGUCUCGGAGAACGUCGGCAACCUCGGGGCCAGUGCGUGGAACCACAGCGGAGCACAUGGUGCUGCUAAUGCAAGUGUUCAGGAACAGUCAGAAGGUCAAGCACACUUCAACCCUCACCCUGAUCCUCUUCAUCAGCCUCCUGGUAGCCCUGAUCCUGGAUCCUCUAAAUGGACCUCCACCACCUCCUACUACACCCCUCACCAACAUUCCCUCACCAGCUCUACUCUCCUCAGAAUCAGCCCAGGUCCUCACGGUGUGGAAGCACAGGGUACUCAAACAGGGCUCGAGGACCACGCACCACCCCUUAGCGUCUUCACCGGGAGCGGAGGCCUUGCUAACAUUAGCCGCUCACAGCCCAUUUUGUGUUCUGUGCCUCAACAGAACUUGGACUACUCGCACUUACUGUCCAGCGCACCAACGUCCACGCAUUCCCUCCUGAUGGCCAGCCGCCCAUAUCCAAACCUCAAGCCGUCUGCUGAGCCCGCCAUGCCCCACUCAGCCCCGGCUCUGAGCGAACUCAACCUGAGCUCUGCGGUCGCCCACAGCGACCGAAACAUCCCGGACACCUCGAGCCUCCUGGCAGAGGACAUUGAAGAAGAUUGCGUCCUUCUGUCAGACCGUUCCCCUCCUCCUCCGAGGCUGGAUUCUGCUUCUGUGGACCUUCCUAUGGGGGACUUGAGCCACGUAGGCCACACAAGUCGCGAGUGCCUGCUGACCGAGCAAGGGUCAAUGGAGAGCCAGGACAGCGAGAUGUCCGAAUCCAGGUCUAGGAGGUCCAGCACUGGGGCGCCGUCUCAAACCCAAAGCUCUGAAACCUCCUGGUGCCUGGACCUCAUGGAUUGA
This 1138-nucleotide long non-coding RNA is filed under the name Astyanax mexicanus (Mexican tetra). RNAcentral's name for it is "lncRNA (ENSAMXG00005010104.1)". The record is from RNAcentral. Lineage: Eukaryota; Metazoa; Chordata; Actinopteri; Characiformes; Acestrorhamphidae.